UACGUAGGCAGCAAGCGUUGUUCGGAGUUACUGGGCGUAAAGGGUGUGUAGGCGGUUCUUUUAAGUUUGGUGUGAAAUCUCCCGGCUCAACUGGGAGGGUGCGCCGAAUACUGAGGGACUAGAGUACGGGAGAGGAAAGUGGAAUUCCUGGUGUAGCGGUGAAAUGCGUAGAUAUCAGGAGGAACACCGGUGGUGUAGACGGCUUUCUGGACCGUAACUGACGCUGAAACACGAAAGCGUGGGUAGCAAACAGG
Molecule: ribosomal RNA, 254 nt
Filed under: uncultured bacterium
Lineage: Bacteria
Description: partial 16S ribosomal RNA
Rfam family: Bacterial small subunit ribosomal RNA
Source: RNAcentral